UGGCUCAGUGGUAGAGCGCUUGCCUUGCAUGCAUGAGGCUCUGGGUUUAAUUCCUUG
Molecule: transfer RNA, 57 nt
Filed under: Dipodomys ordii (Ord's kangaroo rat)
Lineage: Eukaryota; Metazoa; Chordata; Mammalia; Rodentia; Heteromyidae
Rfam family: tRNA
About the family: Transfer RNA (tRNA) molecules are approximately 80 nucleotides in length. Their secondary structure includes four short double-helical elements and three loops (D, anti-codon, and T loops).
Source: Rfam by way of RNAcentral